Molecule: ribosomal RNA, 612 nt
Filed under: Stictocladius multiserialis
Lineage: Eukaryota; Metazoa; Arthropoda; Insecta; Diptera; Chironomidae
Description: eukaryotic LSU rRNA
Rfam family: Eukaryotic large subunit ribosomal RNA
Source: RNAcentral
GGGGAAAUUCAAUACCGCCCCUUAAAAAGGCGGUGUGCACUUUUCUCCCAGUAAGACGCUGUGAUCCAUUAGAAAUUGGACCAUGCCAAUGGUUGAUGGGCUAUCAAUGGGCCGACAUGAAGUUCAGUGGUGACGAUGACGUUGAUCUUUUACGGUUGCGUGUACGACCCGGUGAGCAUGUUGAUACCUGUAGUAGCUGUCUGAUGGAUUUUAAAGGCCAAUAUUACUGAUGUCUUGUUGCAUCACCCAUUACGAUGGGAGUGAAUAUGUGCCCGAUCAACAGUGGUUAAAUUUGCGAUACCUUUGGGACCCGUCUUGAAACACGGACCAAGGAGUCUAUCUAGUAUGCAAGUAAAUGGGUAUAUGAAACCUAUUUGCAUAAAAAACUUGACUUUUAUGGGAUUACGAGUCACUCAUGUGGUGGCUCUUCCAUCCCGGGGUAUUUUCGUCAACAUAUGCAGUAAAAUGUAUAUGGAAAAUAUACCAUGAGCGUACUGGAUAUGACCCGAAAGAUGGUGAACUAUGCCUGAUCAGGUUGAAGUCAGGGGAAACCCUGAUGGAGGACCGUAGUUGUUCUGACGUGCAAAUCGAUAACGCGAGUUGGGCAUAGGG